AUUAAACGCUGGCGGCAUGCCUUACACAUGCAAGUCGAACGGCAGCACGGGGGCAACCCUGGUGGCGAGUGGCGGACGGGUGAGUAAAGCAUCGGAACGUAUCCUGGAGUGGGGGAUAACGUAGCGAAAGUUACGCUAAUACCGCAUAUUCUGUGAGCAGGAAAGCAGGGGAUCGCAAGACCUUGCGCUCUGGGAGCGGCCGAUGUCGGAUUAGCUAGUUGGUGGGGUAAAGGCCUACCAAGGCGACGAUCCGUAGCGGGUCUGAGAGGAUGAUCCGCCACACUGGGACUGAGACACGGCCCAGACUCCUACGGGAGGCAGCAGUGGGGAAUUUUGGACAAUGGGCGGAAGCCUGAUCCAGCCAUGCCGCGUGAGUGAAGAAGGCCUUCGGGUUGUAAAGCUCUUUCGGCGGGGAAGAAAUUGCACGGGUUAAUACCCUGUGUAGAUGACGGUACCCGAAUAAGAAGCACCGGCUAACUACGUG
Molecule: ribosomal RNA, 484 nt
Filed under: uncultured bacterium
Lineage: Bacteria
Description: bacterial SSU rRNA
Rfam family: Bacterial small subunit ribosomal RNA
Source: RNAcentral